Long non-coding RNA from Diceros bicornis minor, 2103 nucleotides. RefSeq lists it as uncharacterized. NCBI's taxonomy places the organism in Eukaryota, Metazoa, Chordata, Mammalia, Perissodactyla, Rhinocerotidae. The record is from RefSeq and is a predicted model, not a curated record. The transcript is spliced from 2 exons.
AAAUCUUCAAUUACUUGGAAACUAAACAGUACACUUCUAAUCAAUGAGUCGAAGAGGAAGUCUCAAGGGAAAUUAAAACACACAUUGAGCUGAGUGAAAAUGAAAAGACAACCUAGAAAAUAGAUGAUACUCAGUAGUGUUGAGAAGAAAAUUUAUAACACUAAAUGUUCACACUAGAAAAGAGGAAAAGUCUCAAAUCAAUAAUCUAAGCUCCUUUCUCAAGGAAUUGGAAAAAGUAAAGCAAAAGAAACUCGAACAAGCAGAAGGAAGGAAAUAAGAUAAAAAAUUAACAAAAUUGAAAACAAAAAUAAUAGAGAAAAAUCAAUGAAACAAAAAUCUGAUUAUUUGAAAAGAUCAAUAAAAUUGGCAAACAUCUAACAAGAUUGACAAAUAAAAAAAGAGAGAAGACACAAAUUAUUAAUAUCAGGAAUGUAACAGAGGAUAUCAACACAGACCCUGCAGACAGCCAAAGUAUAACAAGGGAAUACUACAAACAACUCCACACACACACAUUUGACAACUUAGAUGAAAUGGACCAGUUCCUCCAAAAGCACAAACUAACACAACUCACCCAAUGUGAAAUGUAUAAUUUGAAUAUCCCUAUAUCUAUUAAGAAAAUUUAAUUCAUAAUUUUAAAACUCCCAAAAAAGAAAUCUCUUGCCCCAAAUGGUUUCACCGGAGAAUUCUAUUAAACAUUUAAAGAUGAAUUAACACCAAUUCUACACAAUUUCUUCCAGAAAAAUAGAAGAGGUGGGAACACUCCCCAACUCAUUUAAUGAGGCAGGUAUUACCCUGAUACCAAAGCCAGACAAGAAAGAGUACCAAAAAAAAAAAAAAAAAAAAAACCAACCCAGAAAAACUACAGACCAAUAUCCCUCCUAAAUAGACACAAAUUCUUAACAAAAUAUUACCAAAUAGAAUUCAGCAAUAUAUAAAAAGAAUUAUACCCUAUGACAAAGUGAGGUUUAUUUCAAUGAUAAAAAUAUAUGCACCCCCAUGUUCAUUGCAGCAUUGUUUACAAUAGCCAAGAUAUGGAAACAAUCUAAGCGUUCAUCAGUGGAUGAAUGGAUAAAGAAAAUGUGGUAUAUAUAUACAAUGGAAUAUUAUUCAGCCAUAAAAAAAGAAUGAAAUCUUGCCAUUUGUGUCAACAUGGAUGGACCUUGAGGGCAUUGUGCUGGGUGAGGCUAAAGAAGAAAAAUCCUAUCAUCGUAUCAACGGAUGCAGAAAGAGCACUUGAAAAAAAUCCAAUAGUGAUUCGUGAUUAAGACUCUUUGCAAAUUAGGAAUAGAGAGGAACUUCCUCAACCUGAUAGAGGGCAUCUAGAAAAAAUCUACAGUUAACAACACACUUAUUGGUGAAAGACUGAAUGCUUUCCCCACAAGGUUGAAAAUAUGACAAGGAUGACCAUUCUCACCACUGUUAUUCUACCUAGUACUGAAAUACUAGCCAGCGCAAUAAGGCAAGAAAAGAAAUAAAAGACAUCUAGAUGAGGAAGGAAGAAAUAAAACUGCCCCUAUUUGAGGUGACAUGAUUAUCUAUAUAGAAAAUCCCAAGAAUCCACUAAAAAUCCUAGAACUAAUAAAUGAGUUCAGCAUCAUCACAUGAUACAAGAUCAAUACGUAAAAAAUCAGUUGUAUUUUAAUAUAUUAGCAUCAACACACAGGCACUGAAAUUAAAAAUACAAUACCAUUCUCAAUCACUCCCCCAAAAAUAGAUACUGAAGUGUAAAUCUCACAAAACAUGUACAAGAUUUGUAUUCUGAAAGCUACAAAAGGCUGAAGAUAUAAGCAAGAUUAUUCUAAAAUAGAAAAGGCAAAGGAACUAUAGUAGCUAAAACACUUUUUAAAAAGAAGAAGAAAGUGGGAGGAAUUAGUCUACCCAAUUUCAAGAUGCAGCUACAGUAAUCAAGACUGUGCAUGGCUGGUGGAUAGACACAUAGAUCAAUGGAACAGAAUAGAGAACCCAGAAAUGGCCUACACAAGUAUGGCCAAUAGAUUUUUUGACAAAGUUGCAAAGGUAAUUCAAUGGAGGAAGGAGAGUCUUUUUAACAAAUGGUGCAGGAGCAAAGGAUGUAUCUUAAAAUAAAUGGUGUUUUCAGUUUGA